UUCAUUUGUACUUGGGUUUUU
RNAcentral lists this non-coding RNA (21 nucleotides) under Caenorhabditis elegans. The record is from RNAcentral. Lineage: Eukaryota; Metazoa; Nematoda; Chromadorea; Rhabditida; Rhabditidae.